GUGAAUCAUCGAAUUUUUGAACGCAAAUUGCACUCUCUGGUAUUCCGGAGAGUAUGCCUGUUUGAGGGUCAGGUAAAUAAAAAUCGGUGUUGUUGCUGCCUUGCGUGGUGACGCAUCGGAUUUGGGUCGUCUGACCUUCGUUUAGGUGACCUAAAAUUUUGCAUGAUUUUCGAACGUAUUUAAAUAAGUUACGUACGUUUGUAAUAUCUGAUAUUAGGUGUGAUCAUUCGCAUGAUUCGCUCCCAUAAUUUUUCAUCAAAAUUACCUCAAAUCAGGUAAGAGUACCCUCUGUACUUAAU
Molecule: unclassified non-coding RNA, 299 nt
Filed under: Glomus sp.
Lineage: Eukaryota; Fungi; Glomeromycota; Glomeromycetes; Glomerales; Glomeraceae
Description: partial contains 5.8S ribosomal RNA, internal transcribed spacer 2, and large subunit ribosomal RNA
Rfam family: 5.8S ribosomal RNA (bases 1-71)
Source: RNAcentral